AGAAAAGCGGAUGUUGACUGAUUAUUUCAAAGAGUGAGCGCUAACGUUACUUUUUUUUGUAGUUUCGGUGUCACUCAAACAAAUAUAGACCUAAGCAAGAUAGCAAGACAGUGUGGACUAGGCUAAGUAUUAGCGCCAAGGUACACCAAAUACAGAUAGCGUGCUAGCUAGCAACUGAUGCUGUUUCCAUGGUGAUGAAACUUUACGUUUAACGACAAUUUACAGACAAGAAACUAGCGAGCUGUUGAUGUUAGCUUCGUGGAGUACAAGGAGUUACAACUUAGCUAUUUAAUAGUUAGCUGCACCAACAGCUUGAUUACUAAUGUGAACGGAGAUGUCAUUGGGGUUCCAGUCCUCUGAUCCGCAGAGUAUUGGGCUUCCCAGCAAUAACGGUGCUCCCGUUUUACGAUCUGAACCUUCGCUGAAGCAUGAGACAAAUGCUUUCUUUACAGAGACCCCUGACGCUUCCCUUCGGCUGAGAUUUAACAGCCUGACACUGGAUGAAUUGAGUGAGGAGCUUGAUAGGCGCACCAAGGAAACACAGAGGCUUCAGGACGAAGUGGAAAAUGCAACCAAACAAACCUUGGAGAGGUUUGGCUGCACAUAUGGUACCCUCAGCUCACCUGGACGUAUGUGCCACAACCACAGGUUGAAUGUCUAUGACUCAUCUGAGGAUUCCACCAUUCUUUCAGCCCACCAGCACACAGGGACUCACCCCCUGGUCUAUGAUCACGAUAGUUUAAACCAAGGGGUUACACAUAGGGAUAUCUGCUCUCCUGGAGAAGAGGUGUUUGAAAAUGUCACAAAUGACUGUCUGCCACAGCUGUCUGACUUGCAACUCAACAAGAAACAUGAUCAACCUACACGAGAGACAUUCAGUGGUGACAAAGCUGUCAUGAACCUACAGACUGAGUUGCAUAAAGUCCAGAUGGAGAAGGACGUUCUAUCUGACCUCAGAUUGAAGGAUUCAAGGAAACAUGUUGAUCAGAUGGAAAAGAUGCUGUACAUGUUGGAGGAGCUCCAAAACAUCAAAAGGGCGGGGGACCAGAAGCUGCAGGAGACGGAAGAUGAGGCCUUGGCACUUAACAGGAGGGUAGAGACGUUGGAACAAAACGUAAAGGAAAUGUACUCUUCACUGCUAUCUCCAGAGAAACAAUGUGGAAACAAUGCCAUCACCGGUCGUCACACUGCCACUAGCUCGAGACAGCUAUCCACGGCUCCUACAUUAAUUGAGGAAUUUGACAAUGAGACAGACAGGCUGCAAAAGAGUCUUUUUUUGUCAGCAGAACAAUUGGAGACUGAAGACUGCAAAGGAGCAAAUAAGCAAACAGACAGAAUUGAAGACCUAAUUGCAAGUCUCAGCCAGGAGAUGGUGCUGUUGAAUGACAAACUGAGCUCAUCGAAAGACAACGGUGUCAAUUUAAGUGCCAAGUUGGAGCUGCUAAAGAAACUUGCAGAGAGACAGACAUCACUGCACCAGGUUCAAGUCAGUGAACUUGUGUCAGCUCUCUCUAGCCAUAAACAUACGGUUUAUUGUCUGGAGCAGCAGCUCAUUCAGGCUCAGUCCCAGCUGGUGGACGCCCAGAGAGAGAAAGAGCGAUCUUUACAACAGGCAGAGGAGCUUCAGUACCUGCUUGGUCAACUUAAGAGGUGCAGUGAGCAGCAGCAGUGUGAGCUCCAGGAGGAGGUAAAGGCCCUGAGAGGACAGCUGGAGGUGACCAGGGAGCAGCUCCGCAGAGGUGGGGAGGAGAACACCUGCUUGCAGGCACUGCUGGAACAGAAGGCCCAGGAGGGGAGGAAAUCCCAGGAACUCCUAGAGGAGAAAAACAAAGAAGUCAAGCUCAGGCAGCAAGACGCCCAACAGCAUCUUGCCAAGUUGGAAGAGGCUGAGAGGCGGUGCCAGACCCUGCACGCAGACAGAAAGACACUGAGGCAGAAGGUGGAUGAUCGAGAAAAGAUGAUGAAUGUUCUGAGAUUGCAGAUGGAGAGGAGCAGCCAGAUGACGGUGAAGCACAGCAGCGCCAUCGACAACCUUCACCAGGAGAACAGCCUCCUCAGCAACCAGCUAAACCAGCACAAGCUAGAGAUCCAGCAGCUCAGGGUUGAGUUAGACCAGCGCAAAUCAGACCUGGCUGCUGCAGAGCAGGAGAGGCAGCGGCUACAGGCCUCUGUGGAUGAACAAAGUCAGCAUGUCCAACAGGAAUGUCUGGAGAAACAGCAGCUCACCACCCAGGUGGAGCUCCAGCAUGUGGAGUUACUUACCCUCAAGAAGGAGCUCAGACAGCUGAAACAGCUCCACAGCUGUAAGAAGGAGGAGCACGAGGGUGUGGUACUGAAGCUUCAGAGUCAGCUAAGGAGCGUUCAUGAUGAGCUGGACCAGGUCAGGAGCACCCUGAGGACCCUUGAGGGAGCUGAUGGACAUGGCCUCCAAGCAGCCAUGGACAUGCAGGAGAAGAUCACUGCCAGGAGAGAACAGAUCGACUCCCUGCAGGGCAAAAUCCAACAUUUAGAAGAGACUGUGGAGAAGCUGUACCAGGAAAAGCGCUACCAGAGCCUGGAGCACCAGCGUCACCUCCAGGAACUUAGCGUCGUCAGUACGGAGAAGAGACAACUUAGCAACGAGCUGGAGGCCCUUCGCUCCAAAGAUAAACAGUUAAUGGAGCGGAUCGGCCAGCUGGAGGCAAUCCUUCACAAGUUAUCUCAUGACUGUCCACUGUCUAAGGAAGAUGUCAGAGAGCUUUGCAGACUGUCAAGAUUUUAUCCAGCUGCAGGAGCAGGAGUUUUUCCGUCUGAAACUCCAACAUGUCCUGGACUUAAAGGAGUUCAGAGGACAGAAUUUGCACACAGCUCUGAAUGUACCUCCACCUCACCUGACCCCUGUGUCCCCAUCUGCACUCACUGCUCAGCCCUCCUCCCAGCAAGCCUCCAACUCCCUGACCACGAGGCAGCAGGAGAGCCCCACCCAGGAGCUCAGGUCUCUUGUCAAAGAGCUGAGGGCCGUGAUUUCAGAGAACCACAGACCACACACAGAUAACAUCGCCGCUGGCAGCAGCUUCCACAGGAGGAGGUCCGCGCCGGAGAGAACCACACCCAAUACUGACAAGGCUGAAGAGGUAAAAGCUGACUGCAGAUUUAGAAGAAAAACCUGCACCAGGUAAGGAGCAGCCCCCCCAAACAUAACCAGGCCAGUGUCUUUGUUUGCAUGCUGUGUGAAUGACUUGCCUUGAGGCUAUGCGAUGGUCACACCAUCUAUCCAUGUGACCUCUUACCCCUCAUUCAACAUGCAAGGUGCCGGAAAGUGCUGCAGGCUGUGUAAUGUGACGUAAUGCAAGUCUGUUUGUGCAUACACUGUGUACAGCGAGCCACAUUUCCCGAAGACAGCUGAUCAAAACAGGAAAGUUAUCAUCAACAAAUCCUUCACUGAGAGUGAGUUUUCUUAACUUCUUCAACAAAUAUAUUUGGAGUUUGUUAACCCUUUCAUAAAUGCAGUGUUCAUCUUCAUACAAUGUAAGAUGACAGCUCCAACAAGUAGACGAUCAAUAAAUAAUCUACAGGUAUUUUAAUAACUGUUUAGUUGUUCAUUUAAGUGAUUGUUUUAAAAAGCAAAAGUGGUCACUCGGCUCUGGUUCUAAAUAUGAUGGGUAUUUU
Molecule: RNA transcript, 3648 nt
Organism: Scatophagus argus
Lineage: Eukaryota; Metazoa; Chordata; Actinopteri; Scatophagidae
Gene name: coiled-coil domain-containing protein 158-like
Exons: 21
Source: RefSeq, a predicted model, not a curated record